This 831-nucleotide ribosomal RNA is filed under the name uncultured Ascomycota. Its description in RNAcentral is "SSU rRNA". It matches the Rfam family "Eukaryotic small subunit ribosomal RNA", at positions 564 to 1424 of the family's 1831-position model. The record is from RNAcentral. Lineage: Eukaryota; Fungi; Ascomycota.
GUGCCAGCCGCCGCGGUAAUUCCAGCUCCAAUAGCGUAUAUUAAAGUUGUUGUGGUUAAAAAGCUCGUAGUUGAACCUUGGGCCUGGCUGGCCGGUCCGCCUCACCGCGUGCACUGGUCCGGCCGGGCCUUUCCCUCUGUGGAACCCCAUACCCUUCACUGGGCGUGGCGGGGAAACAGGACAUUUACUUUGAAAAAAUUAGAGUGCUCCAGGCAGGCCUAUGCUCGAAUACAUUAGCAUGGAAUAAUAAAAUAGGACGCGCGGUUCUAUUUUGUUGGUUUAUAGGACCGCCGUAAUGAUUAAUAGGGACAGUCGGGGGCAUCAGUAUUCAACUGUCAGAGGUGAAAUUCUUGGAUCAGUUGAAGACUAACUACUGCGAAAGCAUUUGCCAAGGAUGUUUUCAUUAACCAGGAACGAAAGUUAGGGGAUCGAAGACGAUCAGAUACCGUCGUAGUCUUAACCAUAAACUAUGCCGACUAGGGAUCGGACGGUGUUAUUCAUGACCCGUUCGGCACCUUACGAGAAAUCAAAGUGCUUGGGCUCCAGGGGGAGUAUGGUCGCAAGGCUGAAACUUAAAGAAAUUGACGGAAGGGCACCACCAGGGGUGGAGCCUGCGGCUUAAUUUGACUCAACACGGGGAAACUCACCAGGUCCAGACACAAUAAGGAUUGACAGAUUGAGAGCUCUUUCUUGAUUUUGUGGGUGGUGGUGCAUGGCCGUUCUUAGUUGGUGGGGUGACUUGUCUGCUUAAUUGCGAUAACGAACGAGACCUUAACCUGCUAAAUAGCCCGCAUUGCUCCGGCAGUGCGCUGGCUUCUUAGAGGGACUUUC